RNAcentral lists this small RNA (87 nucleotides) under Flavobacterium sp. 1. RNAcentral describes it as "Flavo-1 RNA". It matches the Rfam family "Flavo-1 RNA". The record is from RNAcentral. Lineage: Bacteria; Pseudomonadati; Bacteroidota; Flavobacteriia; Flavobacteriales; Flavobacteriaceae.
CUUUAGCCCCCGAUAGAAGUGGAAAUCCUUGUGAGUCUCGUUUUUUCAACGAGACUUAUAAGAUUGCAACGUAUAGCGGGACCCAUG